Molecule: ribosomal RNA, 253 nt
Filed under: uncultured bacterium
Lineage: Bacteria
Description: partial 16S ribosomal RNA
Rfam family: Bacterial small subunit ribosomal RNA
Source: RNAcentral
UACGGGGGGGGCAAGCGUUGUUCGGAAUUACUGGGCGUAAAGGGCUCGUAGGUGGCCAACUAAGUCAGACGUGAAAUCCCUCGGCUUAACCGGGGAACUGCGUCUGAUACUGGAUGGCUUGAGUUCGGGAGAGGGAUGCGGAAUUCCAGGUGUAGCGGUGAAAUGCGUAGAUAUCUGGAGGAACACCGGUGGCGAAGGCGGCAUCCCGGACCGACACUGACACUGAGGAGCGAAAGCCAGGGGAGCAAACGGG